Molecule: long non-coding RNA, 1936 nt
Organism: Nicotiana tabacum (common tobacco)
Lineage: Eukaryota; Viridiplantae; Streptophyta; Magnoliopsida; Solanales; Solanaceae
Source: RefSeq, a predicted model, not a curated record
AUUUUUGAGCAAUUUAAUUGAGAUGACAAGAAAAAGACAAUGAAAUUCUAGUCAAGGUGGGCUUUUAUCCAAUUCUUCGGAGCUACAAGAACAACAAAUGGGAGGUACGACAAUGCCCUAACCACCUCAAAACUAGCCACAAAAUGAAAGAUAAGCUAUCCGAUCUGGUAACUUGUCAAGAAAUGAUUUACAUGAUGUAGAAAAUCUCUCAGAUUCUAAUGAGUGAAGAAAAAUCUGAGCGACCAAGGUGUCCCACUAUGAUGCACUUAGGAUGGGAAAAUGAUGGUAGAAAUUUACAUGUUGAGUUUAGAUUGAGUUCUAAACUUGGUGUCAUAGCAUGAAAUGGCAUCUUAGUGGCAUUGAAUUUGGAGGCUUCUGCCUAAUAUGUUCAAGGAUAUAAUAUGGGCUCAUACUAAGAAAAAUACCGAUGCAACUGAUCAGAUGAUAUGAGACAUAUGUUGAUGAUAUCAGUUGGAUCUAAAUGGAAAGAAUGGAAGCAUGAAGCAAAAAGAUGUGGUUAUGAACCAUAUGGUACUGAUAUUGAGCUCUUAGCUCAUCAUUCGAAUAGGGUUGAAGAAGAUCAGUGGUGGCGUUCAUUAGUUCAUUAUUAGAGCUCAAAUGCUGCAAAGUGAAUUGUGUCAUUAAAUAAAUAUAGUCUUAUCCUUACUUUCUUAUAAUGACUCAUUAUCAUCGGUUUUAGUUGUUCACACAAGUAAGGUGAGUUUUAGCAUUGUGUACUAGUUCAACAUCAAAGUUGUGAGUUUAAUUGCCAGGUGUUGUGAUCUUAUUUUUUAAGUAGAAUAUGUGGGAAUUAGUUGUUGAUAUAUCGAAUAUGCAGAAAAUUUUGUACUGUGGCUGCAACCCGAUUGAGUUGUAGUGCAAACAGAUUUCGGACAGUAGUUUUAUACCUCCCUUAGAAUGCAUUUGGUAAAAAACUACCUUUUCUAUACAUCUCCACCAUUCCUUUAUUUCUCCUCAGUUCAGUAGUUAGACAAAUGCAAUAAAUGCAAUAUCAUCAUCAGAUUCGUUGUAUUUAUUUUUGUAUGUUCUGUUGUUUGGAGAUUUGAGAAUAUCUUAUAACUUUGUGAAGCUCAAUUUAUUUCUGGUUAUUAUCUUUCAAGAUAUGGGAGUUAUAAGUAGGAUAAUUUUAGCUUGGCUUAUUGCUUUAUAAUUUUUGCCUCUUCUGCUUUGGUUUGGUUUGAUGAAAGUUCAGUCACUAUUUGGUUGAAGUAUGCUUAAUUUUAGCCUUUUCUUUUAAUUGUUCAUUUGUGUGUUAGCAUUUUAAGAAUUGAUGAGUCUGUACUGGAUGAUAUCUUUGUGAUUUAUAAAUAGUGGAGCUUAUAGUUCAAAAGAACUUUUACAAUGCUGUCAGAGAAGGAAAUCUAGUAUAAAGGUGUUGUCAUAUGUAUUCAGUGUUGCCUCUAGACUUUUGCUUGUAAAUUAAAGUUCUUAUGCUAUUUUUGUAGAAGUGUGCAACAUUCUAGGGCUAUAUAAGCUUUGUCUUGUUGAUGUAUCUUGUACUCUACACUCAAUUUUGAAUUCUACAAACUAUCAAAGUAACCUUUCUAAUAUUUAUUUCUCAGGUUAACAAAAUUAAAAAAAAAAACGAAACUAACGAACUUGGGACCAAAAGAGAAGUGAACUUCUGAAGGAUGUAAGAUCAAUUAUUGGCAAGGAAUACUUGACUUGUGGAUAGAUGAAUUCGUAAAUCCUUAACUUGUUGCAGAAUUUAUUCUAGAAGUUAAGGGAAUUCAUUAAGAUUAAGAGUGAAUUUGACAUAGUUCCAUGUUAAAAUUACUUUAUCUUUUAUGAUUUAGUUAGAACUAAGUUUUAUUUGAGAUAAAACAGGUCAUUUGAUUUGAACUCUAACUUGUAAGGAGAACCUUGAUUAUGUCAGUACUAUGUUCUUUGAAUACGAUGUCCAAAGACAAUUUUA